GACGAACGCUGGCGGCGUGCUUAACACAUGCAAGUCGAACGGGCCUGUCUUCUUUUUUGGGGGUGGGUUGAGUGGCGAACGGGUGAGUAUCACGUGAGUAACCUGCCCUUCGGUCCUGGAUAACCGCUUGAAAGGGCGGCUAAUACGGGGUGGUCCGGUUGGUCCGCAUGGGCUGGUCGGGAUAGAUUCACUGUUUUUGGUGUUUCGGCGGGGGAUGGGCUCGCGGCCUAUCAGCUUGUUGGUGGGGUGAUGGCCUACCAAGGCGGUGACGGGUAGCCGGGCUGAGGGGGUGGGCGGCCACACUGGGACUGAGAUACGGCCCAGACUCCUGCGGGAGGCAGCAGUGGGGGGUAGUGCACAAUGGGCGGAAGCCUGAUGCAGCGACGUCGCGUGAGGGAGGGAGGCCUUCGGGUUGUGAACCUCUGUUUCCGGUGGUGAAGGCCCUGUCCGUGUGGUGGGGUUGACGGUAGCCGGGGAUGAAGCGCCGGCUAACUACGUG
This 499-nucleotide ribosomal RNA is filed under the name uncultured bacterium. RNAcentral describes it as "partial 16S ribosomal RNA". It matches the Rfam family "Bacterial small subunit ribosomal RNA", at positions 28 to 507 of the family's 1533-position model. The record is from RNAcentral.